UACGGGGGGGGCAAGCGUUGUUCGGAAUUACUGGGCGUAAAGGGCUCGUAGGCGGCCAACUAAGUCAGACGUGAAAUCCCUCGGCUUAACCGGGGAACUGCGUCUGAUACUGGAUGGCUUGAGUUUGGGAGAGGGAUGCGGAAUACCAGGUGUAGCGGUGAAAUGCGUAGAUAUCUGGAGGAACACCGGUGGCGAAGGCGGCAUCCUGGACCAACACUGACGCUGAGGAGCGAAAGCCAGGGGAGCAAACGGG
RNAcentral lists this ribosomal RNA (253 nucleotides) under uncultured bacterium. RNAcentral's name for it is "partial 16S ribosomal RNA". It matches the Rfam family "Bacterial small subunit ribosomal RNA", at positions 524 to 776 of the family's 1533-position model. The record is from RNAcentral.